UGAUGAUAUGAUGAUCAAAUUUGAUUCCCUAUUGGUUUGAUUGGCCGCCAUGAUGGCCUCAAAUUGUAUUAGCUCUAUCUGAUCAUCU
Small nucleolar RNA from Oryza sativa Japonica Group (Japanese rice), 88 nucleotides. It matches the Rfam family "Small nucleolar RNA Z102/R77". Rfam says of the family: Z102 and R77 and are members of the C/D class of snoRNA which contain the C (UGAUGA) and D (CUGA) box motifs. Most of the members of the box C/D family function in directing site-specific 2'-O-methylation of substrate RNAs. The record is from Rfam. NCBI's taxonomy places the organism in Eukaryota, Viridiplantae, Streptophyta, Magnoliopsida, Poales, Poaceae.